Molecule: RNase P RNA, 367 nt
Filed under: Desulfobulbus propionicus
Lineage: Bacteria; Pseudomonadati; Thermodesulfobacteriota; Desulfobulbia; Desulfobulbales; Desulfobulbaceae
Description: RNase P RNA component class A
Rfam family: Bacterial RNase P class A
About the family: Ribonuclease P (RNase P) is a ubiquitous endoribonuclease, found in archaea, bacteria and eukarya as well as chloroplasts and mitochondria.
Source: RNAcentral
AGGGGUGAGCGCAUGAUCGCUCCGGCAGAGGCCGGAGAGGAAAGUCCGAACACCGCAGGACACAGUGGUUCGUAACGCGAACCUUGGGCAACCAAGGGAAAGUGCCACAGAAAGCAGACCGCCGAUGGAGCGUUUGCCGCUCACAGGCAAGGUUGAAAAGGCGAGGUAAGAGCUCACCGCUUUCAUGGUGACAUGAAAGGCAUGGUAAACCCCACUGGGUGCAAGACCAAAUAGGGAAGCGCCUGAGGGCUGUCCGCCCGAGCUUCCGGGUAGGUUGCAAGAGAUGCCGGGCGACCGGUAUCCCAGUCAAAUGAUCAUGGUUCGUCUCUGGCGAAAACAGAAUUCGGCUUAUAGCUCACCCCUUUUU